CCCCUACAGGCAUCUUCUAGUUCAGUUGGAUUUUCCACUCCUCAGGAUAAACAAGAUUCAUGAGGACUGUGCCACCUGCAUCACAGAACAAGAGAGGCCCACCUUGGAGCACCCAGAGAGCAGUAACUGUAGGGAUCCAGAAGUUGAUUCCAAAGGGAAUGAGAAGCACCGUCUCCCUGGUGGUGGAAGAUACUUACAUGCACACGACUAGGCUCUAGCAAGUUCUACAACCAUAGGCAGCUACCUUCUCUUGGUUGCCUCAGUGAUGCAACAAGUCAGUUCUUCUUGUGUGAAGCUCAUUUGGAGCAGGCAGAGCAAGAGGCACUGGGCAGAUACUGAGGAAAGCAUAGGCACUUAGGGCAGGCUCGUGGGAAGCCCCGAAGGGAGACUUUCUACCCCAAAGGUGUCUCUUUCACCUCCUCCUUCACUGACAUCCAAAACCUCACCCUCAUAGCUGCCGUCUCCUCUCUGAAUUAUGGGAAAAGUCAUUUUCAAAUAAAGCUGUGUUCUUCAUUU
RNAcentral lists this long non-coding RNA (516 nucleotides) under Rattus norvegicus (Norway rat). RNAcentral's name for it is "long non-coding RNA NONRATT011225". Lineage: Eukaryota; Metazoa; Chordata; Mammalia; Rodentia; Muridae. The record is from RNAcentral.